RNAcentral lists this ribosomal RNA (693 nucleotides) under uncultured bacterium. Its description in RNAcentral is "bacterial SSU rRNA". It matches the Rfam family "Bacterial small subunit ribosomal RNA", at positions 32 to 715 of the family's 1533-position model. The record is from RNAcentral.
AACGCUAGCUACAGGCUUAACACAUGCAAGUCGAGGGGCAGCAUGAUUGAAGCUUGCUUCAAUCGAUGGCGACCGGCGCACGGGUGAGUAACACGUAUCCAACCUGCCGAUAACUCGGGGAUAGCCUUUCGAAAGAAAGAUUAAUACCCGAUAGUAUAGUAUUUCCGCAUGGUUUCACUAUUAAAGAAUUUCGGUUAUCGAUGGGGAUGCGUUCCAUUAGAUAGUUGGCGGGGUAACGGCCCACCAAGUCAACGAUGGAUAGGGGUUCUGAGAGGAAGGUCCCCCACAUUGGAACUGAGACACGGUCCAAACUCCUACGGGAGGCAGCAGUGAGGAAUAUUGGUCAAUGGACGAGAGUCUGAACCAGCCAAGUAGCGUGAAGGAUGACUGCCCUAUGGGUUGUAAACUUCUUUUAUACGGGAAUAAAGUGGAGUAUGCAUACUCCUUUGUAUGUACCGUAUGAAUAAGGAUCGGCUAACUCCGUGCCAGCAGCCGCGGUAAUACGGAGGAUCCGAGCGUUAUCCGGAUUUAUUGGGUUUAAAGGGAGCGUAGGCGGGUGCUUAAGUCAGUUGUGAAAGUUUGCGGCUCAACCGUAAAAUUGCAGUUGAUACUGGGUACCUUGAGUGCAGCAUAGGUAGGCGGAAUUCGUGGUGUAGCGGUGAAAUGCUUAGAUAUCACGAAGAACUCCGAUUG